AGCGGCCGCGGUAAUUCCAGCUCCAAUAGCGUAUAUUAAAGUUGUUGCAGUUAAAAAGCUCGUAGUUGAAUUUCGGGGUUAGUAGGUUGGUCAUGCCUCUGGUAUGUACUGGUCUCACUGAUUCCUCCUUCCUGAUGAGCCGUAAUGCCAUUAAUUUGGUGUUGCGGGGAAUUUGGACUGUUACUUUGAAAAAAUUAGAGUGUUUAAAGCAAGCUAACGCUUGAAUACAUUAGCAUGGAAUAAUGAAAUAGGACGUUCGAUCCUAUUUUGUUGGUUUCUAGGAUUGACGUAAUGAUUAAUAGGGAUAGUUGGGGGCAUUAGUAUUCAAUUGUCAGAGGUGAAAUUCUUGGAUUUAUUGAAGACUAACUACUGCGAAAGCAUUUGCCAAGGAUGUUUUCAUUAAUCAAGAACGAAAGUUAGGGGAUCGAAGACGAUCAGAUACCGUCGUAGUCUUAACCAUAAACUAUGCCGACUAGGGAUCGGAUGAUGUUAAUUUUUUAAUGACUCAUUCGGCGCCUUA
Molecule: unclassified non-coding RNA, 520 nt
Filed under: uncultured Glomus
Lineage: Eukaryota; Fungi; Glomeromycota; Glomeromycetes; Glomerales; Glomeraceae
Description: SSU rRNA
Rfam family: Eukaryotic small subunit ribosomal RNA
Source: RNAcentral